AAGAAUUGGAAUUUGGCAGAACUGAGGUGUCAGUACGAGCAGCUGGAGCCCAGGAGAGAACCCAGUGGUGGAGAGUGGCCAUGGAGGAACACUUUAAAGAAGCAGGAUCAACUUCGUGUGUAAUGAAGGUUAUCGAUUUAAUACAAAUUUGAAUAUGAAAAAUUAAAGAAUUGGAAUUGGGGUCACUGAGAAGCUGACAGUGAGAUGAUGUCAAGCACGUAAACUAAAUGGACAUGUUAGAGUGAGGACUGGUGUGGACACCACGAAUGAGCUGGCCGACCCCUGCUCUAAAUGAGAGAGAACCAGGACAGCGAGAAAGGAGAGGAGGAAAUGGAGCAGGUGGUUAGGGCCAUCCAGCAUGGCUUGAUGAGUGGUGCAGGUCCAUGCCUGGGAUCUGAACCUGUGAACCCCGGGCUGCUGAAGCGGAGCAUGUGAACUUAACCACUACACCACAGAGUGGGCCCCCAUUGUGUGUUUUUUAAUCUUUCUCAAAAUCAUGUAAGAGUCAACUUUAAGUCUUUGCCAGACUAAUAGAUUAAAAAGUAAGGCAUUCC
This 554-nucleotide long non-coding RNA is filed under the name Equus asinus (donkey). RNAcentral's name for it is "lncRNA (ENSEASG00005025060.1)". Lineage: Eukaryota; Metazoa; Chordata; Mammalia; Perissodactyla; Equidae. The record is from RNAcentral.